CCUACGGGAGGCUGCAGUGGGGGAUAUUGCACAAUGGACGAGAGUCUGAACCAGCCAAGUAGCGUGAAGGAUGACUGCCCUAUGGGUUGUAAACUUCUUUUAUAUGGGAAUAAAAUGUUCCACGUGUGGGAUUUUGUAUGUACCAUAUGAAUAAGGAUCGGCUAACUCCGUGCCAGCAGCCGCGGUAAUACGGAGGAUCCGAGCGUUAUCCGGAUUUAUUGGGUUUAAAGGGAGCGUAGGUGGAUUGUUAAGUCAGUUGUGAAAGUUUGCGGCUCAACCGUAAAAUUGCAGUUGAAACUGGCAGUCUUGAGUACAGUAGAGGUGGGCGGAAUUCGUGGUGUAGCGGUGAAAUGCUUAGAUAUCACGAAGAACUCCGAUUGCGAAGGCAGUUCACUGGACUGCAACUGACACUGAGGCUCGAAAGUGUGGGUAUCAAACAGGAUUAGAUACCCUAGUAGUC
Molecule: ribosomal RNA, 460 nt
Filed under: uncultured bacterium
Lineage: Bacteria
Description: partial 16S ribosomal RNA
Rfam family: Bacterial small subunit ribosomal RNA
Source: RNAcentral